GUUUUUCUUUUUUUUUAAUACAGAUAAAUGAGAAGCAAAGAUAAAAAAAUUCAAAUCCUUGUUCUCUUUCUCACAUCUCCUUCACACUAUCCGAUUGUUGCUUCUUCUUCUCACAUUGUUUUGUCCAAUUUCGAGCCACUCAAGAAACAAUCACGAGCCCCUAUUGUCGGAUCACAAGCAACCCAGAGGUAAUCUCACACCGUCGUCAUCCUUACCAUCACUCCGACCCAGAUGUAAUCACCCACUUUGUUCCUCAUUGUUUUGCAGUGUAAUGUUAAAAGGAAAACCAAAAUAUAUUAAAACCAUACUUUCUUUCUUUCUUUCUUUUUUUCCUUUUUUUUUUUUUUUUGAAGCUAUGUAUGAUUUAUGGUUUAAAAAAAAAUUAAAAAUGGACAAAAGGAGAUCGAACAAUUUUUGGAAAAAAAAAAAUUCCUUUUUUUAGUUUUUCUUUCAUCCAAUCCUAAAUUGAAAACCUUGAUAGUAAUAGUUUCAAUGGUUGCUCUUUUAACUCCAACACUAACGAGGUGGACAACCAUUGCAGAAAGCACCUCCUUCCUGUUAAUUUCAACAAAAUAAGAUUGCUUAUAUAGCUCAAGAUGCUGCAAGGCAUAUAUCAUAACAUCUCUUAGCCUUUUUUUUUUUUUUCAACAUACAUAGGAUGUCAAAUAUGCUAAGCAGGGCUGGGAAGUUUCUUGAAAUUUGAAAAGAUAUUAGAAUCUGGCAUUGGAGGAUUUUUCUUUUUUCCUUGGCUACUGGGACUGACGUUUGGGUAAUGUCUUCCUUUUUAUGAGUUGCAUCUGGUCUACUAUCUUAGGCUCUUCUUUUUCUGGGAAGUUAAGCUCUUCAUCUGAGUCACUCCCAAAGCCAACCAUGUUAUUAACUAGAGAGUGCAGCAAGCUUUCUAUCUCCAAUGUCAUCAAUUCUUCUAGCUAUCCAUUCUUCACUUCAUCCUAAAGUUUUUUGACCCCGUUAGAUUCAUUACAACCAACAUCAGAAACCAAUUUUGCCUUUAAAUCCUUCAAAUUUAGUCUGGUGUAGCUGCUGUCUUAGUCACUUUGUGAUCAGAAUUAGUUGAAUCUUGAUCAGAUUUUUGGAUCAAAUCAAUAUCACUCUUUGUUGGCUUCUCUAUUCGAUGGGAACCUUGCAUGUGGUUUUAGAUGGGUUUUUGGUGAGAUGUCAUCGUUGAGUUUUGAAGCUUUUUAAGUUUGGAUUUCUUACAUUUCAGCUUGAACAGAUUUGGCAAGUAAACUUCUCUUCCUCUUUUAUCUUUUGAUGAUGAAUCUAGCUUUCUAAUCAAGUUUUAUGAGACAUGGAGUUUAAUUUUUUUUUUUUUUGGUAGAAAUAACAUGAACAUUUAGAGCAACUAGUCCAUGCCAUAUACGUGUGCUUUAAACUAGCAUUACUAAAUUAAAGCCUUGCCUCCACCAUGAUCAACUAUUACUUUGUACCUGGUUUCAAAUGCAUAAUCUUCAGUAGUUAAAGCUCAAAAAUGGUCUAAAUUUUGUGAACACUGCAACUUGCAUCCACUGAUAUCAUAUUCUCCCUCCAAUUCUCAAAUUCAGAACUACCAAACACCACUUGUUUGAUUCCUACAUAAAUGUUUGACAAAAUAUAUAUAUAUAUAUAUAUAUAAAUAAAAAUCAAUGUACAACUUAUCAAGAAAAGACCAAAAAUAAAAAGCCAAGAGGAAUACAUAAAUAAGGAGCUUUUUAAGUGCACUUUUUAAAAUUAAAAAAUAGAAUAAAAGCUGAUAUGAGAGCAAGGAAAAAGUAAAUCCUAGUAAGAAAGUCAUGCUUAUAUGAUCUCUCCCCACAUUUCAAUUAUAUUAUUUAAAAAAAAAAAAGGUCAAUAAACGAUAAUUUCACAGUACUUUUACUCUCUGGAUGACUGUUAUUAUUGCAGUGACAACAAUGUUUGUGCUACUGUUGAUUGUUAUGUAGGAGACAGAUGGAAAAUUUUUAAGAGUCAGAGAUGUAGUGGAAGCCAUAUCCACCACAGAGUACUGGAAAUUCAAAGAAAUGCUAUAUGAUGAUAAUGGGAAAAAGAUGAAAAUGCAUUGGAGGUGGAUUUUGUAGCAAUUGAACCCGCUGUUCCUCACUCAACCCUGUCAUCUUCAAUAGGAAAUGGAUUCAGUUUUGUUUCCAAGUUCAUAACUUCCAAGUUGAGUGGAAGAUUGGAAAAUGCACAGCCUCUUAUGGAUUACUUAUUAGCACUGAGUUAUCAAGGAGAGAUUUAAGAAGUGGGGAUUUGAGAAAGGAGGGGGAAGUACUACAGAAAGAGUAAAAGAGACAAUAAGAUCUCUUUCUGAAGUACUACAAGCACCUGUUCCUUUCAACAUGGAGAACUUCUUCAGCAAAGUUCUAACAAUCUUCAACAUUAAGAUAUAGAUUGUCUAUCAAUUAUAUCAAAGCAUGUUAUUAUUAUUAUCUGUUAUUAAGAAAUAGCCAUAAACCCUUUGAAAUCAUGCAAGCUAAAUGUUAUAAUGCAUUUUUGUUCAUAAAUGUUAAAAAGGCUUAUCUAGAAUCUCCUAGUUUGCCAGGAUCAUUUGACAUGAACUGUCCUCGCCCAUUUCUUGUCAUUAUAUUUGUAAUAAUUGUGGUGUUACCCUGGCUUCCAUUUGUCCACCUUGGAAUUUGUUGGCAACUAACAAUAUGUCUGCAUCUUUUUUUUAUCUUAAUUUUUAAAUUUUUAAAUUUUUAUUUUUUCUUGCAGAGGGGUUGGAUCUAUGGAAGGGGUUGAUCUUGUAAAUUCCGUAGAUGAGUUUAUCUGUGUAUUGGCAGAAAAUUACCCCUAGCAAACUAAUAGUGCAUGGGGAUUUUACAUGCCAGAUUACCAUUGAUUCCACUAAACAAGCGAAACAUACAUUGCUUCUAGGGCACGUGGACUUGAAAGAGCAUCAUAUGACUAUAUAUGACUCAGAUAAGCCUGGAAAUCGAAACAGAGAAGAUACGUAUUUUAAGAAAUUAUGCAUUAUGUUACCUUAUUUAUUGUGGUCUGCAUGCUUUUAUGAGAAGUGGACAUAUGUUGUAGACUCCGUUGAUGAGUUUAUCUGUGAAUUGGUGCAAAAUUCUCCUCAGCAAAGUAAUGGGUAAAGCCCCUUAAUACUUACAUGUUUAUUGAAUAAAUAUUAACUAUUGAAUAUGGUUGUAAUAAUGUUAUUGUCUCGUUGUAAUAAUUGUUUUGUUGCAGUGGUGACUGUGGCAUUUUUACACUCAAAUCCAUGGAGUUUUUACAUGCUAGAUUACCAUUGAGUUUCACAUAAAAUGACAUAGAGUUCUUUAGGAAGAAAUAUCCUCAUGAGGCUUACAACAAAGAACUAAGCAUAUGAGCUGGGUGUGAUGCAUUUUUUCUUUACUUUUGUCAUGUUUAUAGAUGCAUCUUUUUUAUUAUAUUAGCCUUUUAAAUGUAAAGCUAAUGAUGGCUUAUAAUGUUCAUUUAACGACGAUAAUGAUGUGUUUUGAUGUAAGGAUAACUAAUUUAUCUUAUAGAAAAUGUUCCAUUUUUAUUUAUUAGAAUCA
Ziziphus jujuba (common jujube) is the source of this 3518-nucleotide long non-coding RNA. RefSeq lists it as uncharacterized. The record is from RefSeq and is a predicted model, not a curated record. The transcript is spliced from 4 exons. NCBI's taxonomy places the organism in Eukaryota, Viridiplantae, Streptophyta, Magnoliopsida, Rosales, Rhamnaceae.